This 1125-nucleotide unclassified non-coding RNA is filed under the name Actinia tenebrosa (Australian red waratah sea anemone). RNAcentral's name for it is "phosphonoacetaldehyde hydrolase-like, transcript variant X1". Lineage: Eukaryota; Metazoa; Cnidaria; Anthozoa; Actiniaria; Actiniidae. The record is from RNAcentral.
CUUGGGCUACCUGUGUUANAACGAAGGUUGAAGUCGUUCAACAUGGCUGUCAAGCUUGUAGUUUUUGACAUGGCAGGAACAACAGUCGACGACUCAGUUAAUGGACUUCCAUUAGUGGCUGUUGCUAUGCAGGAAGCUUUUAGAAAGCAUGGGCUAGAAGUAAGUAUCGAUAAAGUGAACGAAGUUCGUGGAAUGGAGAAGAAAAAUGCUAUNAAAAAUGUUCUUCAAGCCUUGAGAAAAGAGAGCCAAGGUGAAAGUGUGGCGGCAAAAUUUCAGGACGACGACGCGCCCGUAGAUGCAAUUUUCAAAGACUUUAAAGAAUCACUAAAUACUCACCUCGAGUACAUCGAUAAAGAAAUUCCAGGAACAAGUGAAACGUUUCGAAUAUUGAAAACAAAGGGAAUAAAUAUUUCGGUAGGAAGUGGAUUUCCACACUCAGUAGUAGAAACGAUAGUUAAAAAUCUAGGUUGGGAAGGCAUNAUAGAUUACGUUUCUAGCGCAGAGAAGGAGGGACAUGGAAGGCCUCAUCCGGCAAUGAUUCAUGCAGCAAUGAAAUUCUGCUCAGUUGAAGAUGCACGGUCUGUAGUGAAGGUUGGAGAUACAAAAAUUGACGUCCAGGAAGGAAGGAAUGCUGGAUGUUGGACUGUAGCCGUGCUCACUGGGACGCAGACUGAGGAAAGUCUGAGAGAUUCUAAACCUGAUUUUAUUAUUGCAAGUGUAGCAGAUUUACCUUCUGUUUUAUCUCAAAUUGAGACAAACAUGCACACAGGCAAAGCAGUUAUACCAGCAGACACAAUCAAAACAGACACAAACAAAAGCAGAUACAAUCAACUAACCAGAGCCUUACAAGAAGCCCUAGGAAGUCAGAGAUACACUGGCAAGCAAGAGACGAUCAGCAUUUGGUGUUGUUUAUCGUCAAGUACUGCACAGAUUUCUGGUACUUAUUGGUUCGAGUACCAUUCUUGGUUGCACCGUUAUUCCUGAUGGCCACAAACGUAUCGUGGAAGACGGUUUGGUAGUAUUUGCUGGAUGCAAAGGUGUGAUAACCAGAGCUUUGCAAGACAUUCUUGAAAACUGACUCAUCGUUUGUGACGGUCUGGAAGGAAAAAAAGAUUUUACAUCGAC